AGAGUUAAAUAGUACGUGAAAUUGUUGAAAGGGAAACGAUUGAAGUCAGUCAUGCUUGCAGGGAAUCAACAAAGUGGUUUUCUUCCUUGUGCACUUCCUUGCUUAGCAGGUUAGCAUCAAUUUCGAUUGUCAUUAAAGAACCAGGAGAAUGUGGCUUCUUCGGGAGUGUUAUAGACCUUGGUAGAUGUGGCGAUCGGGACUGAGGAUUGCAGCGAAUGCUUCUUGGCUAGUCGCCUGGCUUCUGAUGGUCACCUUGCUUUCGAUAGCUUGCUAACGUUAGUGAGAUUUGAUUGUCUAGAUGUUAGAGUGAUCAUAAAUUCGCUAAGGAUGCUGACGUAAUGGCUUUAAACGA
RNAcentral lists this unclassified non-coding RNA (352 nucleotides) under uncultured Glomeromycotina. Its description in RNAcentral is "sequence contains 28S rRNA gene". Lineage: Eukaryota; Fungi; Glomeromycota. The record is from RNAcentral.